GACAGAGGAUGCAAGCGUUAUCCGGAAUGAUUGGGCAUAAAGCGUCUGUAAGUGGCUUUUCAAGUCCGCCGUCAAAUCCCAGGGCUCAACCCUGGACAGGCGGUGGAAACUACCAAGCUGGAGUACGGUAGGGGCAGAGGGAAUUUCCGGUGGAGCGGUGAAAUGCAUUGAGAUCGAAAAGAACACCAACGGCGAAAGCACUCUGCUGGGCUGACACUGACACUGACACUGAGAGACGAAAGCUAGGGGAGCAAAUGGG
Molecule: ribosomal RNA, 259 nt
Filed under: uncultured bacterium
Lineage: Bacteria
Description: partial 16S ribosomal RNA
Rfam family: Bacterial small subunit ribosomal RNA
Source: RNAcentral